CCCCUAGAUGUUCUGGGCCGCACGCGCGCUACACUGAUGAACGCAACGAGACGACCUGUACCGAAAGGCAUGGGUAAACUUGUGAAAGUUCAUCGUGAUGGGGAUAGAUUAUUGCAAUUAUUAAUCUUCAACGAGGAAUUCCUAGUAAGCGCGAGUCAUCAGCUCGCGUUGAUUACGUCCCUGCCCUUUGUACACACCGCCCGUCGCUCCUACCGAUUGAAUGGUCCGGUGAAAUCUUCGGAUUGCUGGAUAGGAGGGCAACCACCUAUCUGCGAGAAGUUGCUUGAACCUUAUCAUUUAGAGGAAGGAGAAGUCGUAACA
RNAcentral lists this ribosomal RNA (321 nucleotides) under uncultured eukaryote. Its description in RNAcentral is "partial 18S ribosomal RNA". It matches the Rfam family "Eukaryotic small subunit ribosomal RNA", at positions 1470 to 1796 of the family's 1831-position model. The record is from RNAcentral.